AACGAACGCUGGCGGCAGGCCUAACACAUGCAAGUCGAGCGCGCCUUCGGGUGAGCGGCGGACGGGUUAGUAACGCGUGGGAAUAUGCCCGGUACUAGGGAAUAGCCACUGGAAACGGUGAGUAAUACCUUAUACGCCCUUCGGGGGAAAGAUUUAUCGGUAUCGGAUUAGCCCGCGUUAGAUUAGGUAGUUGGUGGGGUAAUGGCCUACCAAGCCUACGAUCUAUAGCUGGUUUUAGAGGAUGAUCAGCAACACUGGGACUGAGACACGGCCCAGACUCCUACGGGAGGCAGCAGUGGGGAAUCUUGGACAAUGGGCGCAAGCCUGAUCCAGCCAUGCCGCGUGAGUGAUGAAGGCCUUAGGGUCGUAAAGCUCUUUCGCCAGAGAUGAUAAUGACAGUAUCUGGUAAAGAACCCCCGGCUAACUCCGUGCCAGCAGCCGCGGUAA
This 447-nucleotide ribosomal RNA is filed under the name uncultured bacterium. RNAcentral describes it as "bacterial SSU rRNA". It matches the Rfam family "Bacterial small subunit ribosomal RNA", at positions 29 to 523 of the family's 1533-position model. The record is from RNAcentral.